GCUACCGGGAUUUGUCAUAUGAUUAAAUCUAAUCCUAAAAGAUUCAGUUUAUUUAAUUAGAGUCCUAGUAGGAUUAUAAUUAAAUAAAUUAGUAUCCUAAUAGGAUUCCAAAUCCUUUUCCAUAACUCUAUAAAUAGGUGCCUAGGGUCACAUAUUUAUAUCGAGCAUUCAAGUAUUCAAAGUGAGUUUUUGAGAGCAAAAUUCAGUCAUACAAUUGCCUAUAAAGUCCCGAAAAUUCUAAGUACCUUAAGGGCGAUUCUAGUUGGUCAAUCUUAAGGCGGAUCCGGACGUGAUGUGGACUAUCUAUGGAGGGACGACACUUGGAGUCCUAAAGACUUGUUCUUGUUCGGUUCGGGCGCAGCUAGGGAGGGCACGCAACAAAGAGUACUUGUUUCACUACUCAUUUGAAUUUAGCAGCAUGUUCGUACUCAAGGAACAAAUUGUUUGACUCUGCCAAGUAAGACAAACUUGUUAUGAAUUUGAAUACUUGGAACUUAGAAACAGUAUGUGCUAAUCGCUGGGUCGAGGUGUGAUGCCUCCCUACUUUUAGAAAUGCUAAUCUGUAGAUUGUUCUUUCCGACCUUAGUUGCGGGAGAUAUUUGGGACUACGAGUCCUACUCAGAUGUGAAGGGCGUAUGUAAGAUGCGGCGCUAUGAGGGGUAUGCCUCAUGGUUACUUGGGGUUUGCAGAGAGUAUUUGCCGCGUGUUCCCCAUUCUUGUAGAGGGAAUCGGGGUUCCAACCCCCGAGUGUUUACCUUUGCUUUCUUUGCUUGCGUUGGAAAUUUUCUUAUGGCUAUUCAUUAUCCUUUGAAGCAAUGGUUGAACUGUACGAACAAAUAUGUGUAGAAAGAUUAUCAUGCAUGUUCGAUGCAACAAGAUGACCGGAGUUCUCAUGAACUCGUGAUGUUUAUUUCCUUAUUAGUCUGGAGCAACUUUUAAGUUCUAAGUAGUUAACCUUACUUAGAGUCGGGAUAAGGGAUUAGAAAAUCAAGGCUCAUUUUAUGGGAAUGAACACUAGGAUUUUCUCCCUAUGACAUAUGUGUAGCACUAGCAUCGAGAAUUUGCGAUAAAAUCGGCAAUCGGAGUGGUUUUGUGGUGUUUUCUCCAAGCCCCCAAGCAUAGCUACGGGAUUGAAUUCGCGCUAUGACGCUUGGCAUAUGUUUUUCAUGUUCGUGAUGUCCAGGAUGAACAUAAAUCGUCUAAUGCAAGGUAUGUGUAAAGAACGAGUAGUAAUUUCUACAUGUCUUAUUUUCUUUGUAGGUGUCGUGGUAGGUGACAGAGCCAUGGUCAAGGUGGUCAAUAAGUUGAAGUUUGCCCGGACCAAGGCUCGAGUGACUCUUUUUAGCCAGAGUGGGCUCCAACUUGUACUUGAAGAAACAGACAUAAAACGACAGCAUGCACAGUUUAGGUUUAAGGUCAACAACGUCUUUUUUGCGGCUUUAGCGGUUUUACAUCUGUAGAAAGAUAUUAGUUAGAGAUUGCAAUUUCUGUGCCAAAUUACUCGCAAUGAGGAAGUCUUGUAUGUUCAAUCAGUUGUUAAGGAAGAGACCAGACGUGUUGGCUAAGCUAGCCCCCAGUAUAAACCAGAGCAACGUUUUUUGCCUCUUUUGAACUAGACAUGGGAAGGUGCAUCCAGACUCGAUUUCUUAACAAGGGAAUGAACAGACAGACUAAGAUAGAAGACAUAUCCAACUAGUUUUCAAAAACAGGAGAUUUUGAAAACAAAAAAAGAAAGAGGUAGGGUCCUUAUUUAAAAAACACAUUUGAGAAUGUUCAAGGGAUUCAUUUGAGAGUGCGGUCACGUGGUUUAGCAUAGUCUGAAAUCAAACAGUCUCUUUUUCAUUGUAUUGGAUUCGGAAGCUUUCACUUGGGCUGUUGGUUGUAGUGCUUGCAAAUUACUUGUAAGAAAUAUCAGUUGCUCGAUUAAGGAUGAAGUAUAGAUGCUCAAAGUCCAAAAAAGGUGAAGGACAUUCUUGCAUGAAGAGAUGUUAAGGGAUGAUAAGGAUAGUAAUCACAAUCCUGUGCUGUUUACGAAAGAGGUUUGAUUGUCUUACUUAGUUUUUGUUGGCAAUGUUUAAGAAGACGUAGAUGUGCCUUUUAUUUAAGGAAUUUAUUUAUGUAUUCGAAUGGCAGGAAACAAGUUAUUUUAGGAAGUGAAUGCUUCCUUUUGGAAGUUAUGCCUAAAGCGGCGAGUUGCUUCUAUUUUGGGAAAAGUGAUUAGGUCGAUAAUAGAAUCGUGUGCCUAAUUAACAAGACUUUUGCAUUUAAUGACUUAAGUUGAAUUUUAUGGAUCCAUGUUUUAUUCACUUUUAGCCGGAGUGGGCCGAGUUCGUUUUGUUCAGAAUAAAUGUCCAUAAUGAAUUUGGACUAAAGUGGUUACGCCUUUAGGGGUUGCAUACAUAUCCAAGUUGGAAUCAGGCCUGAUGUACCUCUGGUUUUUUUGAUUCUUAGUCAUUCUUUUAUUAUAAUUUCACCUUGAUUUGCGCAAAAUUGCAUAAAAAUUAAUCGGAUUGUGCAUGGAUAUACCCCCCAAGUGUUCGGAUUUUUCUGCAAAAGUGCGGGAAAAAUUCUGAACACUUAAGCACAAGCGUUGGAAAAAGUCCAGCGCACAGCUUGCAUGCGCUAUAAUUUUCUAGCGCUCGGCGGUUGGUAUGCGCAGCUUUCACAGGACUCGAUUUAUUUUUACGUUUCCUUUUCUGGUUGAUUUUGCAAAUUUGAUUAACUUCUUAUUGCCGAGUAAUUGGUGCUCGUUUUUUUCAGGUAUUCCCGAGUGGGGAUUUCUUUUUUCUUUUGCGAGUUAAGAAAGACUUAUGUUUAUUACUUCACCUCACGGAGGGAUUUUACUAGAUUGUAACGUGGUUAAGCUUUGGGUUAAGGCUCAAAAUUUCCCACUAUAUCCCGAGUUAAACUGACAACUGGACUUAAUGUUUAUUUUUGUUUGAUCUUGGCAGAACUUCGUCAUUGUUUACUCUUCAUAUUUCUGUUUUUUGGACUUUUUGGUUGGCCGGUUACUUCACUGUAUGCUUGGAUUCUUUCUUUUCAACAGUCUUUGAUGUGUAGUCCUUUUCAUUUGAUUAGUUCCUUCUUCUUGUCCAUUUUAUUGUCAUGGUGCAUUCCCAUCCCUAGGUUCGGAUUAGUGCGGGUAGAACAAAAAGGCUCAUUCAGACGAGGUUCAACAUGGCUAACAAUAAAGUGGUUCAUUGUUUCUUGGUCAAGGGAAAGGACAUUUUCAAAGGUUUCAAGUUUCUUCUUGUGUUGGUGAAUUAUAUCUUUCAGAAAUCGUUAAGGUGGACUUAAUGAGUCCCCAGCUGUUGGUCCUGAGAUGGAUUUUUUUUUUUUUUGAAGUUAAUGGGGUAUGUUGGGCCCAGGUGAGUUAUUAUUUGCGAACUCUUUUAUGUAAAGUGCAGAAUAAGUUUUGCUAUUUGUCUUGUGCAUCGAAUAUUUGUCUUUUGUUUGUUCAUUGCUUUACUGUUAUGGUAAGACAUUCAAGGAUGUACUUUAAAAGCAAUUUUAUUGAUUUUGGAUGAAAGUACAUGAUAAGAUGGCUUUUACAUCAAUUUAUCCUUUUAUUCUAUUUUAGGAACAAAAUGAAAGGGAGAAUGACAUAGAAUUAGUUUGUAGUGCUAUAUUCUAAGUCUGAGCUUCUUUGAACUUUGAGUCUGCAUUUUCGAGUUUUGGAUAAUCUUUAGUCUUUAGCAGUCAACAAUCUAGUUUGUAGCUUCGCGUUUCCAGUCCAGGAGAGAUUUUUUUAUGAGUCUGUCAUUCUGAACAUUCUGGUGGUGGAAUGUUUGAUAUGGUAGAGGGUAAGUAUGCCAUAGUUGUCCCAAAUGUUGUUUGGUGCUAAAGGAAUGCUAUGAGAAGUCAAUUAAAUUUUAAAAAUUGAAGGUGAACGUUUAAUCUUAAUUGGAGUAUAAUGCUCUCAACUUCACAUCUUACAUGGGAAAGGUCAAGACCCCAUCCUCAAUUAGAUCUUUGCAUUCUUUAAGUUCCAACACUGGUGGAUAAGAUGGCCUUUUCUCUGAUGAUACUCACAAUAUGAGCUGGGGUCCCAAUACUUUCCUUUUAAAGGGGGGUCCGGGGUGGGACCUAUUGGACAUAGUAUUCCUCGAGUUGUGAAUUUAGAAAUCAUUUUUUUGUACGACUCGCCUACCAGAGUGAAUUUUCUGCCUUUAAUCCACCUUUAGCCCUUUUCGGUUGACAAGCAAAUUCAUUAACUGUCUUUGUUUUUUUUGAAAAGGGACUUUGUCUCGUUAAAAGGUUAGUUCAUUUAUCCUUUGAUGGUCAACUGUCUAGGGAGUGGGGUGCUCCGGAGUGUUGUAACCUAUUCGGCGGAUUGGGCAAUUGAGAUGAUCACUUGGACCGUGCUCACAUUGAUGAAUUUGCUUGUGUGUUUCUUCUAAGGUGAUGAGGCGAGAAGUAAGCUCUUCAAGAGUAAUCUUGAUUAGAUGGAUUUUCUCUUGAAUGGUACUCAUGUUCGGAUUACAAAAGAGAGUGGAUUUGACGAGGAUUUCCCUGACUGAUUGAAGUUUGUGUUGCCGAGCGACCGUUCCUUGAAUUAUUCUUGAAUUAGUCAGGACUCUUAGGGAAGAGUUGAUGAUUUUUUUUUUGAAAACUAGAAAGAAAGAAACUAAUUUUGAAAGGUUGGAUAUGACCACCUAGUUCUUGAUUAAAUGUUGACAGAUUAACGCUACCAGCAAGUUCAGAGGAUAAGGAAUGCUUGAUCAAUCUGAGUGGCAAACUGAGUACUUGGAGGUUUGGGUUGCCAGCUUAAAGUUAUCCCUUUAUUCUUAACUGAGUAUUAUACUGAAUAAAUAGGUUGCUCUAAAUUUGGAUGAUUAGAAAUUGGGUAAUCAUAAUCAUUUCUAGAUUUAAUCAAAAUAACAAAUCGGGUAAGGGACCAAACUUGUAUUUUAGGCAGUGUCUCUAAGUCAAGUGAGAGUACGUUAUAGUGCUUUCAUGGUCUAUAUUUUUAAGAUCUAGGUGAUUUGAAUGGAAUGCAAUGAUCGCUUAUAAAUUAAGAGUGUUAAUUUAUUAACUUCGAGGUAUGGACUGACUUUUAUAAUCCUUUUAUAUGGUGAAUGCCAUCUAUAAUAAACGUACUAAUUAUUUGGGAUAUGUUAGCGCGAUAUUUCGGACGAGUCGGACUCAAAGGUUGGGCAUAGGUUUGACUCAAAAUACAAAAACGGAUUUUGACAAAACUACUAGGCUGCAACAACUAUAACUUUUGAUCUGUUAAUUGUUUUGGGCUUAACCUGACUCUGGAUGAUGGACUAAGGUUAGACCUACGGAUUGAUAGUUUAUGGGCCUCACAGUUCUUUUGUAAAACUCUUUUUAAGACCGUUUUAGUGUUUUUACUUUUGGUUAUACGGGUUUCACUUAAGUUACGAAAUGGGGAUUAAGGGAAUUGUCCUAGGUGUAAGUGGAUUCUAGGGGAAGGACUCUAAGUGUGUGGAGAUUCUAUAGAGUGUAAUUUUAGGUGAAUGAUGACUAUACGGUAGGCUUUAACUUGGUUUAGACUCUUCGGAAACAAAUUUGGUUAAGACUUUAGGUGGACUUAGACUAGGUGAACUUAGGCUUUAAUUGACAUGAUGGACUCAAGGGAUGAUAGACUUGGCUAAUGUUUUUUACUCAAGGGAUGACAGACUUGGCUAAGGUUUUCGACUCGACUUGAUUCGUCCUUUGCCUCGAAUAUUAUUAAGCGAUUAUAACGAGCAAUUUGGUAUGAAUCCAUUUUAUCAACUGAUUUUAGGAAACAAACUCUUUUUUCUUUUUUUGAAAUCUUUGCUUUUAGUGAACGUCAAAGGUUAUUUUAGCGUGAACAAUACUACUUUACGAAUCGUUUUUAUUUUAAGCCAAGGGAACGUGAAAAUUGUCGAGAAUGAAGCCAACUGCGCUAGAAUAUUUCAGCGCUUGAAUUUACACCGUUGGAAUUUUCUAGCGAUGGCCUGUUGUGCGCUAGAAACUUCCAGCGCUUGCAGGCAUUUAUGUAGUUUUUUUUCCUUUUAGUCAAUUUUGUUCCGUGGCUUGAAUUUUACCAAACUGGUCCCUUUGUUUGAGCGUUCGUGCGCUCAGACAUUCAGCAUUCCGACGCAAAUGAUAAGUAUUUUGCGCUUACUGACCUUUGGGUUCGAUUGGUAAAAGCGAAUGCGGAUUUUUGUUAAUUUUGACUUAAUAAGGCUUCAAUUCUGCGAAGAAACCUUCGGCGCAAUCUUGAAUAUGCGUUCCGGAAUAGGUAUUUUCAGACAGACCUACGUAAUGCUUUGGCAAAUACGUAUUUCGGUCUUUCGAACUGGUUGCACGACAGACUGGGUUCUAAAUUUCGAGUUCAGGUAAAUAAAUCAAAUGCAAGGAAAAGUGAGUGUGCACUGGAAAAUUCCAUGGCACGAAAGGGCAGCGCUGGAAUUUUCCAGCGCAGGCCUGGUCAGCAUUGGAUUUUGAUGCACUGGCCAUUGUGAUUACUUUUAUUUUCCUCGUCAAGUGAGCUAGUAUGUUCUGGCGCUUCGAAUUUGAGCGCUGGAAUAUUCUAGCGCAUGUCAAGACAACACUGGUUUAUUCUUGCGCUGGGCUCCUGACUGCGAAAAUUUGUUUCUGAUUCGUAGUUUUAACAUUAUUUCGACGUUUAGAGUAUAUUUUUUGAAUUCGAUAAGCAUUGUCGACCUUAAACUAAGCGUCUGGUUGAUUAGUUUCACAUAGCACAUAAAAAUUUACAUCAAACUAACAAUAAGCAUGGUUUCAGGUAUAAUGUACACUUAUUUUAUGCUAGUCUCUAAGGUGCAAAAAGGCUUGGGUGUCAAAGUGUACCAAACCUAUCGCCAAUUCCCCAACAGGCCCUUGUCAGAGUAGUCUGGUUUAUGACGAAUUUUAUCAAGGCAUAUCCGGUAUGUGCUGGAGUGGCAUAUACCGUGAAUGGACCUAGGAGAUAAGAGGUUUAGUUUUGGUGGAUGUAUACAUUGCGAAUGCAUCGAGUGGAUAACAUCCGAAGCGCGUGCACCCCGGGGCUGAUAGGUGUCCUUAGUCCAGACUUCCGAUAUGUAACAUGCCAAGGAAGCCGAGAUUCGUUUAUGCGGUUCUAUCGCGGAUCAUUCGUCACAUUGAAUAUUCAUGUCAUCCCAACUUAAUAUGGAAAUUGUUGCGUAGCAUUCGAUUUCUGCUAUACGACUUCCUCACCGACGCGCUACUUGCAGAAAUUAUUUCAAUAUUGUCCCCAGUGGAGUCGCCACUGUGAGGGGGUCGAAAAACACGACGGGGAGCCUCCUAAAGAAAGAGUGUACGGCCUGCACGACUUUUCCAUCUUCUGGAUGUGACAAGCAUAUUAAGUAAAAGGGACUAACUGUGGGCGCUAGCCUCUUUUUACUAGUCUUUUAGGAGUCGCCAUUCAGUUUUAGAAAACUGACAAAACCCGGUUAUUAUGAUAUGCCUGGAAUGCAAAUAUAUGUGAUUCACGAAGGCCAUUGAUUCCCUUGUGAUCCCUGGUGUGGACAUCCCUCAACGUACAUCCAGCGGAGCAGAGAUUGAGAGUUCGGGGGACGUUUACUAAUACGGGGAGUGCCCACCAUUAGCCCACGCGGCGCGGUCCUCACUAGUUCAAUCGUGACGAUGAUGGGACAUGCGUUAUGCUACAUUACUACUCUUGAUUUAUUUUAAUGCACAAAUAUUUACUAAACAAAUGUCAAAAUGCUGAUUUAGAUUGAUUAAAGGGGCUUAACAAUACCAGUUUGUCCAAGAAUUAUCUGAUUUAAGCGUGAGCAAUAUAACAGAUUAAAGUUAGCAAAUUUAUAUGGUGGGGAAAGAAAUAGAAUAUAGAUUUAGAUUACAGCAAAGCGUAGGCUUUACUGCAGUUCUCAGGAACACUUACCACUCGCCUUAGCAGAGCCUCUUUUUAGCUUUUAGAACAACCUUUAUACUGACUUUUAGAUUUCUAUCCUUCCUUUAAUCCGGCAGAGUAUCCUUUUAGAUUACUUGGUUUUGGCUUAUGAAUUAGCUAGAAUCUCGGUAGUAAUUGGGAUGGUUUGAAUACUUGUAUGGACAGAGUUCUGCUUAACAAGAGUUAAUACGGCAGAAUUGUUACGAAUACGGGGUGGGACGUCAACAGAAAUUUAGUAUACUAGAGAGGGAAGAGAGAAUUCAGAAUAUCAGAGAAGUGAGAAUGAAUUGAUGAUUUAAAAUGGGGUGCCGAAGGGUUGUAUUUAUAGUGUAGGUAGUCUAAAUAAGAUAGAUAUUUGAAAAGUUCGAGCGCCGGAAAAAAGUAGCGCUCAAUUUGUAAGCGCUGGAAAUUUCCAGGGCUCUAAAAUGUAGCGCUAGAAUACUAGGAUUUGAAGAGUUUGAGUUUUUGUCAGAAUCAAUUUGCAGCGCUCGAAAAAAGCUGUGCUUGACUUGUGAGCGCUGGAAUUUUCCAGCGCACGAAAUGCCAGCGCUAGAAAAUUCUAGCGCAGGAAGAUAUGCGGAUUUCCAGAAAACUCAAUCUUUAAAAGCUCAUAACUUCUUCAUACAAACUCGGUUUCUGGCAAAUAAUAUCUUGUUGGAAAGGUACGGUAUCUAGCUUUCUAAUGUCACUGGUAUCUCAUCAAUGGGCUUUGUAAAUCUCGAGUUAUGGCCCACGGAGUAGAGGUCGGUCCGAUUCAAAGAAGCCCAAGUGAAAGCCUUGUAACUUAUUCGUUUUAUAUCGGAUUUGGGCUUAUGAUAAGUCUAUGGAAAAAUUAUACCAAGGCCUAUACAACCAUGUGAUGUGCAUGAUCCAAGUCAUAAUUUAUAAGAAAUACUUUGAUUUCGUAAGGACGUAUCAUUUGCUAAACGGGCUAACGAGCGUAUUCUAGGCACUCGUGAGCAUUUUAAGUAACUUGGGUUAACAUUUACAUGUAUUGUGCCCAAUAAGUAUGGGUUUGAGAAAUGUUAUUGUUCGAGAUAUAUUAUUCUAGAGCCUGAAGGCAAGCACUAGAACAUUGUGGCACGUACAACUGUGUUGUAAUGCGGACAAUCAUAUUCUAUCUUUCUAUCGACGCAACCACAUAUUAAGCCGUAUCGGAAUGCGAAUGCGACUAAAUAUGUGUCCAGUCUAUUUUAGGAAGUUACUAUAUUUAACAGGUUCUGCUCCGGAUGGUCUUUUCAGUCAGUCGAGGGUCGUUCUUUAGCUAAUCAGAGUGCAUUGUUGGCGAGCGGGUUAUAGUUUCAUCAUUGAACACACCGUGUCGGGCCUAGGGACAAUUGUAGGCGUCUACAGAUGCAUACUAUAUACUACAAUUUAUUCAUUGAUCAUUGUGAUAAACUUGAACUUUUAAACAUGUGAAAGUGUGUCCUUGUCAGUUUAUUCUUCAAUCUUCUAUUUACAUUUUCUAUUCAUUACAAUUGAUGGCGCAAGUAUAACAGUUGGGGAUUAGAAUUAUACAGAUCCCUUCUACUUUACCUAACAAAUCAUACAAGAAUCUGUUUGUUGGAUAAGUGUAUGAGCAUAUAUAGGGGGACUGAUCUAUAGAAUCCGUUUAUUGGAUUUCUUUUUUGUCGGAUCUGUAGAAUACAACUUCUAUUUAUGUUACUGACUUCCUUGCCUACUAACUGUACAACUCUACAAAUUACAUCAGUUUUGAUAUCUCUAAUUACACAAAAUUUAUACCUUAUAGCUAUCUCGUAAAUUGCAAAAUAUUCAAAACAACUAUUCUUUAUGUCGCUGGUAUAACUUCUGCAACAAGUAAAAAACUAAGGUGAAAGUCAACAAAAUAGUUCAUACUGGUAUAAUUUUGUGUCUUGAGUUCAGUUCGUUGCGUAUUUAUUUAUCUUUGUUUUGUUGAUUCGAUUGUGGUGUUUAAUUAGUCGUUCUUGUUGCUUUUGUGAAGAGUUGCUAAACAAUUUUAUACUGAUGAUCAUGAUAUCAACUUGUUAACCUAUGUUAUAGGAAAAAUACUUAAAAAAUGUAGAGAUUAUAUAUAGUUGCAAAAUAAAAAAUCAUGGUCAACCAGAGUUUUAUUAAGAUAAAGUCCUCCUUGAUUGUCAUUUGUUACCUCUACUCCUUGGAUACAAAAACAAACUUUUGUUUUGUUUGUUCUUUGUAUGUUAUGAGAAAAUAAGAUAAAUAUUAUGUACUGAUCUCCCAAAAAACUAAACGAGAAUGUGAUGUUAAUAAUUUGCAAAUUAAUGUGGUUUAAUGGUUCUUUGUUUUCUAUAAGUGUGUUUAUUUAUAAUUAUGAUUUUUUUUUCUUAGACAUGGAUACUAGUUGGAUUGACUUAUGAAAAGGGGAUACCCGUUAUUAUAACGGUUGCAUAGAAUUUUUAGAGGUUGCAAAUGAGACUCUUCUAGAGGGAGAUACUCGAUGCCCAUGUAAUAAAUGCAAGUUAAAUAAAUGGUUUGUCUUAGAAGAGGUAGGAGGACACAUUUUAUUUAACGGUUUUUAUAAGAAUUAUAUGAAUGGAUUUUCCAUCGUAGAGUUGAAGAGAGUAAUACCUUAGAGAUCCCUAGUGAUCAAGAAAAGGUAGUUGGUCGAGAUGAUAUGAAUGGGUUACUAAGAGAAGCUUUUAAGGUUGACAAUAGUCCACAACCCACCAACGAACCCAAUACCCAUCAUUAAAAGAAGCUAAUUUUGAAGAUGAAUAUUCGUAUGACAUGCAUGAAGAGUUAAAAUUUUGGUUGUGUGGAAGAUGAUGAAUUUCAAUCAACUAACACCAAUGAAGAAGAAGCAAAGUAUAAAUGACUUAGGGAAGCUUCUGAUGAGGGUCUAUAUGAGGGGUGUACAACUAUCUCAAAACUGUUGUUUCUAUUGCACUUGUUUCACCUCAAGUGUAUGUUCCAUUGGUCUAUCCCAUCAUUUAAUAAGUUGCUUGAGCUUCUAUUAGACACACUUCCUUAUAUUAAGGAGUUUCCAUCGUCGUAUUAUGAAGGGAUGAAGAUAAUGAAUGAUUUGGGAUUGGGUUAUGAGAAAAUCCAUGCACGUCCAAAUGAUUGCAUGUUAUAUUGGGGCGGAUUUGCAGGAAAAAGUGAGUGUCAUAUCUGCCACAGAUCAAGGUGGAAGAAUGUGAAAGAAAAGGAGGGUGAGAUAAGUGAGAAAGAUAAAGAAACAUGUAAUAAGGGUGUUCCAGCUAAAGUGAUGAGGUACUUUCCUCUGGUCCCUAGACUAAAGAGACAUUACAUGUCACCUAAAACAAUAAAGGACAUGAGAUGGCAUUUUGACCGCAAGGAUGGAAAUAUCAUAGGUCACCCGGCGGAUGGUGAAGCUUGGAAUUUUUUUUUGAUAAAAGAUAUGAGGAAUUCGCAAAAGAUCCUCGUAGUGUUAAAUUGGGUCUAUCAAGUAAUGACUUAAUUUAAUCUAUAUCGUUUGAUGAAUAUUGGUUACAGUACAUGGCCGGUGAUCCUGAUUCCUUAUAAUUUGCCACCGUGGCUUUGUAUGAAGUCGACAUUAUUCAUUUUGUCUUUGCUUAUUCCGGGGAAACAGGGUCCUGUUAUUGAUAUUGAUGUGUACUUGCAAGCAUUAAUCCAUGAGCUAAAAUUGUUGUGGGAAGGUGUAGAUGCCUUUGAUGCUUAUAGUGGAAAAAAUUUCAAGAUGCAAGCAGCCAUAUGCUCCACUAUAAAUGAGUGGCUAAAGUUGGUUAGAUAUUGGUAUUCAGAUAAAGGGAAAGUAAGUACCAUGUUUUUAAUUGAAGUUUGAUCGAUCUUUGUUUAUUAUUUUCUUAAUAAACCUCUUUGAAUGUGAGUGCAGAAAUUGUCAGAUUGUGGAAAAGAAGCACGAGCCUCCCAAAAUCAAUUUCAUAGAUUUGGUUCUAAUAGCUAUGCGAACCAACAAGUUGAUUAUGAAGACGAGCAUGAAGUAAAAAUGAGCUUAUUAGCCCUUUGGAUAAAGACUCAUUCGGGCAAGGACAAGACCUUUCUUCCAAACACACUCACUGAAGAUUUUUUUGAUGAUGCAAAGGCCAUGGUUGAAUCGCUGAAGAAUGCAGACCCUUCUAAGUCUCAACAAGAAAUUGGAAAUGAAGCCUUUGAGGACACUAUGCAUGGUGGAAGGUACCAGAACGUCCUGUAGGUUACAUACUUGGAGUCCGAAAGAGCAACAUUUAUGGAGUGCAUGGUGUGCUAAGGAAGAAUGGGUAUGGAAAACUUCGACAUAGGACCGUGGUGAUGGAAAAUGUGAAAGAAGAAGUGUCAGCUAUCAACAAGAAAAAUGAAACACUUGAGAAGGAAAAUGGGAAGCUGCAAGAGCAAGUGGAAGAGAAUAAUUGGCUGCUUAAAACUCUUUUUGGACAAUUUGCUCAACUUGCAGGUCAAGUUCGUACAGGAACUGCUUCAACAACAACUCUUGAAUGUGCACAACAAGUCUUGGGAAUGACACACAAAAGGGUCGUCCAACGUGAUAAGGUGCAAAAGAAGAAUGAAGGCCAAGACACUUGAGCUUCAUUUGAGCUACUACCAUCGAUCAUCUAUACAUAGUAUAUAUAGAAUAUAUUUUGAUUUAUGAUGUUGUUUUGGACUGUUUGGUUAGGAUUUCGGUUAGUGAUAUAGAUGCGUGUAUGCUUGGAUUCUGGUAAUUAGUAACAUACG
Long non-coding RNA from Spinacia oleracea (spinach), 12517 nucleotides. RefSeq lists it as uncharacterized. Lineage: Eukaryota; Viridiplantae; Streptophyta; Magnoliopsida; Caryophyllales; Amaranthaceae. The record is from RefSeq and is a predicted model, not a curated record. The transcript is spliced from 6 exons.